AGCGAACGCUGGCGGCAGGCCUAACACAUGCACGUCGAACGGACCCUUCGGGGUUAGUGGCGGACGGGUGAGUAACACGUGGGAACGUGCCUUUAGGUUCGGAAUAGCUCCUGGCAACGGGUGGUAAUGCCGCCUGGGCCAUUCGGGGGAUAGAUUUAUCGCCUUUAGAGCGGGCCUCGUCUGAUUAGCUAGUUGGUGAGGUAAUGGAUCACAAAGGCGACGAUCGGUAGCUGGUCUGAGAGGAUGACCAGCCACACUGGGACUAGAGACACGGCCCAGACUCCUACGGGAGGCAGCAGUGGGGAAUCUUGCGCAAUGGGCGAAAGCCUGACGCAGCCAUGCCGCGUGAAUGAUGAAGGUCUUCGGAUUGUAAAAUUCUUUCACCGGGGACGAUAAUGACGGUACCCGGAGAAGAAGCCCCGGCUAACUUCGUGCCAGCCGCCGCCGUAA
Molecule: ribosomal RNA, 450 nt
Filed under: uncultured bacterium
Lineage: Bacteria
Description: partial 16S ribosomal RNA
Rfam family: Bacterial small subunit ribosomal RNA
Source: RNAcentral